RNAcentral lists this ribosomal RNA (2368 nucleotides) under Escherichia coli. RNAcentral's name for it is "bacterial LSU rRNA". It matches the Rfam family "Bacterial large subunit ribosomal RNA", at positions 594 to 2925 of the family's 2925-position model. Lineage: Bacteria; Pseudomonadati; Pseudomonadota; Gammaproteobacteria; Enterobacterales; Enterobacteriaceae. The record is from RNAcentral.
UGACUGCGUACCUUUUGUAUAAUGGGUCAGCGACUUAUAUUCUGUAGCAAGGUUAACCGAAUAGGGGAGCCGAAGGGAAACCGAGUCUUAACUGGGCGUUAAGUUGCAGGGUAUAGACCCGAAACCCGGUGAUCUAGCCAUGGGCAGGUUGAAGGUUGGGUAACACUAACUGGAGGACCGAACCGACUAAUGUUGAAAAAUUAGCGGAUGACUUGUGGCUGGGGGUGAAAGGCCAAUCAAACCGGGAGAUAGCUGGUUCUCCCCGAAAGCUAUUUAGGUAGCGCCUCGUGAAUUCAUCUCCGGGGGUAGAGCACUGUUUCGGCAAGGGGGUCAUCCCGACUUACCAACCCGAUGCAAACUGCGAAUACCGGAGAAUGUUAUCACGGGAGACACACGGCGGGUGCUAACGUCCGUCGUGAAGAGGGAAACAACCCAGACCGCCAGCUAAGGUCCCAAAGUCAUGGUUAAGUGGGAAACGAUGUGGGAAGGCCCAGACAGCCAGGAUGUUGGCUUAGAAGCAGCCAUCAUUUAAAGAAAGCGUAAUAGCUCACUGGUCGAGUCGGCCUGCGCGGAAGAUGUAACGGGGCUAAACCAUGCACCGAAGCUGCGGCAGCGACGCUUAUGCGUUGUUGGGUAGGGGAGCGUUCUGUAAGCCUGCGAAGGUGUGCUGUGAGGCAUGCUGGAGGUAUCAGAAGUGCGAAUGCUGACAUAAGUAACGAUAAAGCGGGUGAAAAGCCCGCUCGCCGGAAGACCAAGGGUUCCUGUCCAACGUUAAUCGGGGCAGGGUGAGUCGACCCCUAAGGCGAGGCCGAAAGGCGUAGUCGAUGGGAAACAGGUUAAUAUUCCUGUACUUGGUGUUACUGCGAAGGGGGGACGGAGAAGGCUAUGUUGGCCGGGCGACGGUUGUCCCGGUUUAAGCGUGUAGGCUGGUUUUCCAGGCAAAUCCGGAAAAUCAAGGCUGAGGCGUGAUGACGAGGCACUACGGUGCUGAAGCAACAAAUGCCCUGCUUCCAGGAAAAGCCUCUAAGCAUCAGGUAACAUCAAAUCGUACCCCAAACCGACACAGGUGGUCAGGUAGAGAAUACCAAGGCGCUUGAGAGAACUCGGGUGAAGGAACUAGGCAAAAUGGUGCCGUAACUUCGGGAGAAGGCACGCUGAUAUGUAGGUGAAGUCCCUCGCGGAUGGAGCUGAAAUCAGUCGAAGAUACCAGCUGGCUGCAACUGUUUAUUAAAAACACAGCACUGUGCAAACACGAAAGUGGACGUAUACGGUGUGACGCCUGCCCGGUGCCGGAAGGUUAAUUGAUGGGGUCAGCGCAAGCGAAGCUCUUGAUCGAAGCCCCGGUAAACGGCGGCCGUAACUAUAACGGUCCUAAGGUAGCGAAAUUCCUUGUCGGGUAAGUUCCGACCUGCACGAAUGGCGUAAUGAUGGCCAGGCUGUCUCCACCCGAGACUCAGUGAAAUUGAACUCGCUGUGAAGAUGCAGUGUACCCGCGGCAAGACGGAAAGACCCCGUGAACCUUUACUAUAGCUUGACACUGAACAUUGAGCCUUGAUGUGUAGGAUAGGUGGGAGGCUUGGAAGUGUGGACGCCAGUCUGCAUGGAGCCGACCUUGAAAUACCACCCUUUAAUGUUUGAUGUUCUAACGUUGACCCGUAAUCCGGGUUGCGGACAGUGUCUGGUGGGUAGUUUGACUGGGGCGGUCUCCUCCUAAAGAGUAACGGAGGAGCACGAAGGUUGGCUAAUCCUGGUCGGACAUCAGGAGGUUAGUGCAAUGGCAUAAGCCAGCUUGACUGCGAGCGUGACGGCGCGAGCAGGUGCGAAAGCAGGUCAUAGUGAUCCGGUGGUUCUGAAUGGAAGGGCCAUCGCUCAACGGAUAAAAGGUACUCCGGGGAUAACAGGCUGAUACCGCCCAAGAGUUCAUAUCGACGGCGGUGUUUGGCACCUCGAUGUCGGCUCAUCACAUCCUGGGGCUGAAGUAGGUCCCAAGGGUAUGGCUGUUCGCCAUUUAAAGUGGUACGCGAGCUGGGUUUAGAACGUCGUGAGACAGUUCGGUCCCUAUCUGCCGUGGGCGCUGGAGAACUGAGGGGGGCUGCUCCUAGUACGAGAGGACCGGAGUGGACGCAUCACUGGUGUUCGGGUUGUCAUGCCAAUGGCACUGCCCGGUAGCUAAAUGCGGAAGAGAUAAGUGCUGAAAGCAUCUAAGCACGAAACUUGCCCCGAGAUGAGUUCUCCCUGACUCCUUGAGAGUCCUGAAGGAACGUUGAAGACGACGACGUUGAUAGGCCGGGUGUGUAAGCGCAGCGAUGCGUUGAGCUAACCGGUACUAAUGAACCGUGAGGCUUAACCUUACAACGCCGAAGCUGUU